RNAcentral lists this ribosomal RNA (406 nucleotides) under Candidatus Yanofskybacteria bacterium RIFCSPHIGHO2_02_FULL_44_12b. RNAcentral's name for it is "bacterial SSU rRNA". It matches the Rfam family "Bacterial small subunit ribosomal RNA", at positions 507 to 911 of the family's 1533-position model. Lineage: Bacteria; Candidatus Yanofskyibacteriota. The record is from RNAcentral. RNAcentral also lists the same sequence under 1 other name.
GCCAGCAGCAGCGGUAAUACGAGGACCCCAAGCGUUAUCCGGAAUUACUGGGCGUAAAGCGCGGGUAGUCGGCUUUGUUAGUCUAAUGUUAAAUCUUAGGGCUUAACCCUGAGGCCGCAUUGGAAACGGCAGAGCUAGAGUGGGUUAGAGGCAAGCGGAACGUGCGGUGUAGGGGUGAAAUCCAUUGAUAUCGCACGGAACACCAAAAGCGAAGGCAGCUUGCUAGGGCUCUACUGACGAUCAGCCGCGAAAGCGUGGGCAUAAAAAAGGAUUAGAUACCCUUGUAUUCCACGCCCUAAACUAUGCAGACUCGCUAUUGGGAGCAUCGACCCUUCCAGUGGCAAAGCUAACGCGUUAAGUCUGCCGCCUGGGAAGUACGAGCGCAAGCUUAAAACUCAAAGGAAUA